RNAcentral lists this long non-coding RNA (977 nucleotides) under Fukomys damarensis (Damara mole-rat). Its description in RNAcentral is "lncRNA (ENSFDAG00000024868.1)". The record is from RNAcentral. Lineage: Eukaryota; Metazoa; Chordata; Mammalia; Rodentia; Bathyergidae.
GUUCUUUUUUUAAACAUAGAAUUUUUUUUGCAGCUCAAAUUUAAAAUCUUUCUUGAAAGUCCUUCUUUUUGACAAUGGAGAGGAGUAAAUCAUUCUUCCCGUGACUUUUAGAGUCCUUAAAGGUCAUCUCUCAUUUCCCUUCAUAAAUUUUAUUUUUCAAUCUUUUUAUCGUAUUUGUUGCAAAUGCAGGAGAGGACGUCUAGCACUUAGGAGGGCUGUUAACCAACAAGGGAGCACAGAGGAAGGAAGAAAGCCAAUAAAAUCAUCACCUGCCCAGCAAAGCACCUCACUUAGGCUUAUCCUGGUACGAAAGAUCUUGGAGAAAGAGGUUGAAGUGGCCUUGCUCACCCAUUCGGUUCUACUUUUACCUCAACUAAGCAAGCUAAACAGAUUUCUGCUGCCUGAGCCCGGCGGGGGCGGGGGUGGGGGCAGUCUGACACCGGAUGGCUUUUUAGCUCAAAAAUGGAGUAACUUUGGGCUUCACAAAUGUCCACUCUCUGCUGUCCCUGUGCCAGAGUACAAACUCCAAGAUGGGGGAACAGUGCUUCCCUCGCUGACAGGCAAAGCUGCAGGAACGGUGCAGGGCCCGUACGGACUGGGAAUCGAGAAACGAGACGUGAGCGAGCGGAUGACUGAAUGAAGACACGGUGAACGAACGUUCGUUAGGGUCGCUCUCACACACACUUCCAAAAUCGCCAUUGCACCGUUCCAAAGCAUCCGUAACUCUUGGGAAACAAUGAAUAAUUUCUUGUUCUCAUUUUUAAUUGAAAAUCAUUUGAUUGUCUUACUUACCACACUUCACAGUAACCCGGGAGGGUACUUCUCUUCCAAGACAGUUUAUCUACAGUGCAGUCUAAUACAGAACACAUGUGUAACUGUGUAAUGAGUGAUAUCAGAAAAACUGCUAGUUCGGAAACGAAGCUGGCCUGUUGUCUGAUGUGUUUAGGAGGGGAGGCCUGGUGUGGAAAACCAUAUAU